GGCGAACGCUGGCGGCGUGCCUAAUACAUGCAAGUUGAGCGCUGAAGGUUGGUACUUGUACCAACUGGAUGAGCAGCGAACGGGUGAGUAACGCGUGGGGAAUCUGCCUUUGAGCGGGGGACAACAUUUGGAAACGAAUGCUAAUACCGCAUAAAAACUUUAAACACAAGUUUUAAGUUUGAAAGAUGCAAUUGCAUCACUCAAAGAUGAUCCCGCGUUGUAUUAGCUAGUUGGUGAGGUAAAGGCUCACCAAGGCGAUGAUACAUAGCCGACCUGAGAGGGUGAUCGGCCACAGUGGGACUGAGACACGGCCCAAACUCCUACGGGAGGCAGCAGUAGGGAAUCUUCGGCAAGGGACGAAAGUCUGACCGAGCAACGCCGCGUGAGUGAAGAAGGUUUUCGGAUCGUAAAACUCUGUUGGUAGAGAAGAACGUUGGUGAGAGUGGAAAGCUCAUCAAGUGACGGUAACUACCCAGAAAGGGACGGCUAACUACGUG
This 497-nucleotide ribosomal RNA is filed under the name uncultured bacterium. Its description in RNAcentral is "partial 16S ribosomal RNA". It matches the Rfam family "Bacterial small subunit ribosomal RNA", at positions 28 to 507 of the family's 1533-position model. The record is from RNAcentral.